UGUGAUUAGAGGGUUAGAACUUUCAACGCUCCCACCCCCUGACUCCUGGAAAUGGUAGAGUGGCUGGAAAUUGAGUUCAGUGACCCAUGGCUUGUGACUUAAUCAGUCAUAUCUACAUAAUGAACCCUCUAUAAAACCCUCUAAAUGGCAAGAUUCUUUUUGGUGAACACAUCAAGGUGCUGGGAGGUGGCAUGAAAGCUGGAGAAGCCAUGGAAGCUCCACCCCACCCACCAUAUUUUGCCCUGUGUGCCAGUUCUGGGAGGUGGCAAGGUGCUGUAGAAGGCAUGGAAGCUCCACCCCAUCCACGGUAUCUUGCUCUGUGUGUCUUUUCCACUUGGCUGGCCCUGAGUUGCAUCCUUUACAAUAAAACUGCUCAUUCUCCAUUCUGACCAAAGCUUCCCUUCAGGUCACCUGGAUGGAUUCACAUUCAAUGUCAGGACUUGGCUCAUUGUGAAUAAGCCUUCUUAUCCAAUUUGUUCAGUUUGCUUGUGUCUUCAGGCUGAUGAUCAAAAACACUGACUCUGAAAACUGUUAGCUGCUGCCAGUCUGAAAACCUGUUAUGUUUCAACAGAUUGAAACCCUGGUUUCGGUGUCGUAAAAGACGGCGGUCCCCUGCUGCCCUUCCCCCACUCCAACGCUAAUCCACCUGCAGAGGGCCAUCCCCGGAGCUUCUGGGCUGGCAGAUAUAUGGGUCAUGGAGGGAACAAUCAAGAUGUUUUUGGGGUGGGCUUCCUGGCUGCCAGAUCCUGUGCAAGCCAUAGUUUCUUCUGGGAUGGUGGGAGCCUGGUGCAGUGGGCCUGGGACAAGGACUGAAGCUCCAGAUUCUCUGGAGAAAGUGAAAGCUCCUGCCAGGUGCAUUGUCUCAGGAGGCCUGUUGGCUUCCCAGAUUCCCAAAGGUCUGGUGUACAGGUAAGCAGAGGGAAGAGGGGCUGCUGCCCCAGAAACUCCAACCUUGCAGCUCAAGAAGGCUGGGAGGAGAGAGGUCCUAUCUCUGUGCCUGAUUCCCAGACAGGAACUGCUGCCUUGCCACCUGUUGCCCAUUGGAGCAGAGGCUGCUGAACCCCACCACUUGAAGUACCCUUGGGCCCAAUGAGCCUGGAGUUGCCAAAGGAAAAUAAUAAUGCACCCCAAAGGACCUGCACCUAGCAUGAAGAAGAAACAACACUGCAGACUGGGGAGCUCUAGAAAGCCUAGGUGCUGGAGAGCAAGUUGAAUAAAGCUGUGAAGAACAAUUACAGAGAUUCAAUUACACCAUAAGUGGACUUUCUGUUAAACAACAAAUUAACAAAAUGAGAUUAUUUUUACUAGAACUUGGUGUAGAUGAACUGAAGGUUAGAAUAAGUUGACAUUAAGACCCAAGUUACUGGCCUAGAACAAGAAUUGACAAAUUAUAGCUCAUAGGCCAAAUCUGGCUCACCAGCUG
RNAcentral lists this long non-coding RNA (1423 nucleotides) under Homo sapiens (human). RNAcentral describes it as "HSALNT0000964". Lineage: Eukaryota; Metazoa; Chordata; Mammalia; Primates; Hominidae. The record is from RNAcentral.